This 498-nucleotide ribosomal RNA is filed under the name uncultured bacterium. RNAcentral's name for it is "partial 16S ribosomal RNA". It matches the Rfam family "Bacterial small subunit ribosomal RNA", at positions 30 to 523 of the family's 1533-position model. The record is from RNAcentral.
AUUGAACGCUGGCGGCAUGCCUUACACAUGCAAGUCGAACGGUAACAGGUCUUCGGAUGCUGACGAGUGGCGAACGGGUGAGUAAUACAUCGGAACGUGCCUAGUAGUGGGGGAUAACUACUCGAAAGAGUGGCUAAUACCGCAUGAGAUCUACGGAUGAAAGCAGGGGAUCGCAAGACCUUGUGCUACUAGAGCGGCCGAUGGCAGAUUAGGUAGUUGGUGGGAUAAAAGCUUACCAAGCCGACGAUCUGUAGCUGGUCUGACAGGACGAUCAGCCACACUGGGACUGAGACACGGCCCAGACUCCUACGGGAGGCAGCAGUGGGGAAUUUUGGACAAUGGGCGAAAGUCUGAUCCAGCAAUGCCGCGUGCAGGAUGAAGGCCUUCGGGUUGUAAACUGCUUUUGUACGGAACGAAAAGCCCCGGGUUAAUACCCUGGGGUCAUGACGGUACCGUAAGAAUAAGCACCGGCUAACUACGUGCCAGCAGCCGCGGUAA